Molecule: ribosomal RNA, 254 nt
Filed under: uncultured bacterium
Lineage: Bacteria
Description: partial 16S ribosomal RNA
Rfam family: Bacterial small subunit ribosomal RNA
Source: RNAcentral
GACGUAGGGCGCGAGCGUUUGUCCGGAUUUAUUGGGCGUAAAGAGCUCGUAGGCGGCUUGUCGCGUCGUCCGUGAAAACUUGGGGCUCAACCCCAAGCUUGCGGUCGAUACGGGCAGGCUCGAGUUCGGUAGGGGAGACUGGAAUUCCUGGUGUAGCGGUGAAAUGCGCAGAUAUCAGGAAGAACACCCGUGGCUAAGGCGGUUCUCUAGUACGGUACUGACGCUGAGACGCGAAAGCGUGGGGAGCGAACAGG